GCUUCAAGGACCAACAACACAUCUCAGUAUGACUAGUUCAGAGUCAACUACAGUACACAGACACUCCAGGCUCCUAUAUGAUGCCAUUAAAGGCAACUGGUUAAACAUUGCUGACCUGUGGGAGAGGCUGUGGACUGGUCUUUGAACAGUAUAGGUGACUUGUACAGGCCAAGCUUACCCCUCCUGACCUGACCUUCACUCACAGACUCGUCUCAGGAAAACUGUUUGAACUAUUUUCACUUUUCUAGUAAUGUUUUAAUCUCAUUUUGUUUUAUAUACCGUAUGUAUUAUGGUGUGAGUUAUGUCUGCAUUGCCUUGGGGUACUGUACUGCCAUCCCACUUGCACGAUCGUCUGUUUUAUGUGACUUUUACCAUCUUAGUUAAAUGAUCAGCUUAGGUUAAGUUAGGUUACGUUGGGUUGGGUUGGGUUAUGUUAUGUUAUGUUAUGUUAUGUUAUGUUAUGUAUCUAUCUAUCAUCUUUAUUGUGGGAAUAUAGAAAUGCCUGUCUUCCAUCAGUUCAUGCGGCCAUUUUAGUGCUGCUCCGUGGAUUCUCCCUCAAGUUCAAGAUUAUCAGUAUUUUAAUGAAAGGAAGGACUUACUCCUUCCCUGUGUGGUUCAUCCUCUCACAGGGGGACUGUCUUUGUUUACACCUACAUCAGUCAUGUUGAGAGCCUUCACAAAAAUAACACCUUCUAGAGACCCCCAAUUUUUGGACAGCUGCAGACACAGGUUCCUCUGAAGAAUCAACAGUCCCAGAAAUAAAUGCUGCAUAGUUUACUAGAGAUGAUCCUUGUACAUAGGACUCAGAAUUCCUCUGAGAGAGAUCCAGUGCCCUAGCUUGGUCAAAGGCUGUCUGUAGAUCCAGACUCUUAUUUUCUAGGAGGUGCUAAUGAAUCAGUGGUGUCAUGAGUCAUUGAUGAAAGUCUCUUAUAUAGUCAUCCUAGUUCUGUUCUGCUCUAACAGCCUUGAAGUUGUACUCCUUACGGAGCUGGUGAAGUUCCUGUGUGUAUUCAUCCAAUGUUUCAUCUUGAAGUUGUACUCCUUACCGAGAUGGAUUUUCACCCUGACGUUGUCUUCUUGUGCCCAGAAGAUGUCGAGCAAAGAUUUCAUUCCUGGGCUUCACGUAGAGAUCCUGAAUAAUCUAUAUUGCAGCCUCAUAAGUGUCAUUAUCGGCUAUAUAUUUGUAUACACUAGGAGACACAAAGUUGAUGAGGGUGUUCAAUAUGUCAGGUGUGUGGAAUGCAAUGGACUAAAGGAAGCUAUAGAAUGUGUGGUACCAGUGGCACCACUUCCUAGCUGCUUCUGGUGAGUUUAGACUAGAAUCCAAUCUCUGGCUGCAGACACUUCUCCGUGGUGACUCAUGACAGUUAAGAUGAAUAAAUUGCAAUGAAACAGA
Molecule: long non-coding RNA, 1396 nt
Filed under: Homarus americanus (American lobster)
Lineage: Eukaryota; Metazoa; Arthropoda; Malacostraca; Decapoda; Nephropidae
Description: uncharacterized LOC121878647
Source: RNAcentral